ACACAUGCAAGUCGAACGGAGUGCUCAUGACAGAGGUUUCGGCCAAUGGAUUGAGUUACUUAGUGGCGGACGGGUGAGUAACGCGUGAGGAACCUGCCUUGGAGUGGGGAAUAACAGUUGGAAACAGCUGCUAAUACCGCAUAAUGCAGUUGGGUCGCAUGGCCCUGACUGCCAAAGAUUUAUCGCUCUGAGAUGGACUCGCGUCCGAUUAGCUAGAUGGUGAGGUAACGGCCCACCAUGGCGACGAUCGGUAGCCGGACUGAGAGGUUGAUCGGCGGUCGACGCGGCCG
Molecule: ribosomal RNA, 290 nt
Filed under: uncultured bacterium
Lineage: Bacteria
Description: partial 16S ribosomal RNA
Rfam family: Bacterial small subunit ribosomal RNA
Source: RNAcentral